GCAGCCGCGGUAAUACGAAGGGGGCUAGCGUUGUUCGGAAUUACUGGGCGUAAAGCGCACGUAGGCGGAUCGGUCAGUUAGGGGUGAAAUCCCAGGGCUUAACCCUGGAACUGCCUCUAAUACUGCCGAUCUCGAGUUCGAGAGAGGUGAGUGGAAUUCCGAGUGUAGAGGUGAAAUUCGUAGAUAUUCGGAGGAACACCAGUGGCGAAGGCGGCUCACUGGCUCGUUCCUGACACUAAGGCACGAAAGCGUGGGGAGCAAA
Molecule: ribosomal RNA, 262 nt
Filed under: uncultured bacterium
Lineage: Bacteria
Description: partial 16S ribosomal RNA
Rfam family: Bacterial small subunit ribosomal RNA
Source: RNAcentral